Molecule: long non-coding RNA, 615 nt
Organism: Clupea harengus (Atlantic herring)
Lineage: Eukaryota; Metazoa; Chordata; Actinopteri; Clupeiformes; Clupeidae
Source: Ensembl
ACAGCGGGGGUGGUCAGUGUGAGGGUCGCUGUGUCUACAGUCUCUCUAAGAAGGACAUCAACAUCUCUGAUGCUGGAACUUACUACUGUGGCAUAGCCACAAGCAGACAAAUACUGUUUGGGAAUGGAACAGCUCUCAUCAUUGCGGAGCCUGUGGAUAUUGUGCUGGUUGGUUUGGCCGUGGCUUUGGGUUGCUGUGUUGCGUUGAUGUUUUUUCUGGCUUGGCUGAUCGGCAAGAGGAGAAUUACAUGUGACAACUGCAAGAUGAGAGACUUGCAGGAAGCUAGAGGUGUCAGCUCAGAGACCAGACAAACAAGUGCUCAGGCUGAGGCUGCAGAGGGUUUAACUUAUUCAGCCUUGAGCUUCUCUGAGAAGGAGACCAGAGGGAGGAGAACUAAGAGGAAGCUGCCACCAGACGCUGUUUAUUCUGCCGUCCAACUCUGACCACUCAGUCCUGGUUACUGUGUCAUACUCUAUCUGACAAUAGCAACUGCAGUCUGUUUGUUUUAUUUUCAUAUCCCCCAUUUUGUUGUUUGUUUUUUGUUUUUAUUUGUAUGUAUUACAUUUAUAUAUUCUUAAAACUUUCAAUUAUGGUAUUUGACUACUGGAAAUGGAA